GAUGAACGCUGGCGGCGUGCCUAAUACAUGCAAGUCGAGCGAACGGACGAGAAGCUUGCUUCUCUGAUGUUAGCGGCGGACGGGUGAGUAACACGUGGAUAACCUACCUAUAAGACUGGGAUAACUUCGGGAAACCGGAGCUAAUACCGGAUGAUAUUUUGAACCGCAUGGUUCAAAAGUGAAAGACGGUCUUGCUGUCACUUAUAGAUGGAUCCGCGCUGCAUUAGCUAGUUGGUAAGGUAACGGCUUACCAAGGCAACGAUGCAUAGCCGACCUGAGAGAGUGAUAGGCCACACUGGAACUGAGACAGGGUCAAGACGCCUACGGGAGGCAGCAGUAGGGAAUCUUACGCAAUGGGCGAAAGCCUGACGGAGCAACGCCGCGUGAGUGAUGAAGGUCUUCGGAUCGUAAAACUCUGUUAUUAGGGAAGAACAGAUGUGUAAGGAACUGUGCACAGCUUGACGGUACCUAAUCAGAAAGCCACGGCUAACUACGUG
This 497-nucleotide ribosomal RNA is filed under the name uncultured bacterium. RNAcentral's name for it is "partial 16S ribosomal RNA". It matches the Rfam family "Bacterial small subunit ribosomal RNA", at positions 28 to 507 of the family's 1533-position model. The record is from RNAcentral.